RNAcentral lists this long non-coding RNA (318 nucleotides) under Zostera marina. Its description in RNAcentral is "long non-coding RNA (ZMAR_LNC001509)". Lineage: Eukaryota; Viridiplantae; Streptophyta; Magnoliopsida; Alismatales; Zosteraceae. The record is from RNAcentral.
GAGCUCAGAUUGAGAAUUAGAUCGUUCCAUGAAAUUUGAAUUUGAACCAUCCAGACGCAAUUUUGAGGGUGUUGGGGAGAAUAUGAAGGUUGUAAUAUAUCAAAGGAUUUGUUAGACAUCAAUGAAAUGGUUUUAGAAGGUGAUCCAUUAUAAUUGGAUUUAAUGGAUUGCCUGAUAAUAUUUGAGCAGUCAGACUGGAUAGAAAGAUCUAGAUUACUAAACAAGUCAAAACUAGGAGGGAUAAUAGGUGACACAUGAUUCAGUUGAAUCAUAGUUUAUUGAUUGUACACUGAAUCAUUAUUUACCGAAGAUGCAUGG